GAUGAACGCUGGCGGCGUGCUUAACACAUGCAAGUCGAGCGAGUGAGUUCUUCGGAACGAUCUAGCGGCGGACGGGUGAGUAACACGUGGGCAACCUGCCUCAUAGAGGGGAAUAGCCUCCCGAAAGGGAGAGUAAUACCGCAUAACAUCGUUGAAGGGCAUCCUUCGAUGAUCAAAGGAGCAAUCCGCUAUGAGAUGGGCCCGCGGCGCAUUGGCUAGUUGGUGAGGUAACGGCUCACCAAGGGGACGAUGCGUAGCCGACCUGAGAGGGUGAUCGGCCACAUUGGGACUGAGACACGGCCCAGACUCCUACGGGAGGCAGCAGUGGGGAAUAUUGCAUAAUGGGGGAAACCCUGAUGCAGCAACGCCGCGUGGGUGAUGACGGCCUUCGGGUUGUAAAGCUCUGUCUUUGGGGACGAUAAUGACGGUACCCAAGGAGGAAGUCACGGCUAACUACGUGCCAGCAGCCGCCGUAA
RNAcentral lists this ribosomal RNA (476 nucleotides) under uncultured bacterium. Its description in RNAcentral is "partial 16S ribosomal RNA". It matches the Rfam family "Bacterial small subunit ribosomal RNA", at positions 28 to 523 of the family's 1533-position model. The record is from RNAcentral.